UAGCGUUUGCCGUUUGCGCACGGGCCUUUCCUGCAACAGGAAGAUAUAUCGCUCUUAGUCUUGCACAACCCUCCUACAUCUUGUAACUGAAUCAGUCUCUCGUAGAAUCACAUCUGUCAAAGCUGAACUGACAAAGCGAUAACCAUGAAGACGGGGUUUGCCUUUAUACUGCUCAUUGUGCUGAUAUCAUCGAUGGAAAGUGCAGUUGGUUCACCGAGUGUCGUGGCACUGCGAGAGCAUCGUGACGUAAAGCACAGGAGAGGACCCAGCCCAAUUCGUUCAUCCCGCCCUGGCCAUUCUUUGCGUCCACGCGGUCAACACCUACCUUCCCACUCUGGUAGCCAUCAUGCGUGACCCAACUUGGCCUUCACCGUCCAGGUUCAGACGAGAGGAUUUCCUUCUCUUGGAUGUCACUGCUGUUCGAAAUAAACAAUGGUAUCUGAUAACAAGA
Molecule: long non-coding RNA, 451 nt
Organism: Ornithodoros turicata
Lineage: Eukaryota; Metazoa; Arthropoda; Arachnida; Ixodida; Argasidae
Exons: 4
Source: RefSeq, a predicted model, not a curated record